GAAAUGCGAUACUUGGUGUGAAUUGCAGAAUCCCGUGAACCAUCGAGUCUUUGAACGCACAUUGCGCCCCUUGGUAUUCCAUGGGGCAUGCCUGUUCGAGCGUCAUUUGUACCCUCAAGCUUUGCUUGGUGUUGGGUGUUUGUCUUCCCUGGAGGACUCGCCUUAAAACAAUUGGCAGCCGGCCUAUUGGUAUCGGAGCGCAGCACAAGUCGCACUUCUUUCCAUCAAGGUUGGCAUCCAUCAAGACCAUUUUUUCACUCUUGACCUCGGAUCAGGUAGGGAUACCCGCUGAACUUAA
Molecule: unclassified non-coding RNA, 298 nt
Filed under: uncultured Ascomycota
Lineage: Eukaryota; Fungi; Ascomycota
Description: sequence contains ITS1
Rfam family: 5.8S ribosomal RNA (bases 1-105)
Source: RNAcentral